Molecule: long non-coding RNA, 249 nt
Organism: Musa acuminata AAA Group (dessert banana)
Lineage: Eukaryota; Viridiplantae; Streptophyta; Magnoliopsida; Zingiberales; Musaceae
Exons: 3
Source: RefSeq, a predicted model, not a curated record
GUUACUUGCGGUCGCACAUGCGACAUUCGCCUCUUCCUUUGUUACCUUUUCUUCCCCUCAGUGGCUGUCUGCCUUCACGGCUGACCCUAAUAUCCCUGCCAAUCGAAGAACAGAUUUGUUGCCUUCUUUUUAGCUGCGAAUGAUUUGAUGGUGGAAGUUUGGUAUUUUAUCCAGUUCUGAUGAUUAGUUGUGCAAAUGGGAGUGAAAGGGACUUGAUUCCGUAGGAGAGGGAAAGGAGACAUCAAGGUG